AUUGAACGCUGGCGGCAUGCUUUACACAUGCCAGUCGAACGGCAGCGCGGGCUUCGGCCUGGCGGCGAGUGGCGAACGGGUGAGUAAUACAUCGGAACGUGCCCAGUAGUGGGGGAUAGCUCAGCGAAAGCCGGAUUAAUACCGCAUAUGACCUGAGGGGGAAAGCGGGGGAUCUUCGGACCUCGCGCUAUUGGAGCGGCCGAUGGCAGAUUAGCUAGUUGGUGGGGUAAAGGCCUACCAAGGCGACGAUCUGUAGCUGGUCUGAGAGGACGACCAGCCACACUGGGACUGAGACACGGCCCAGACUCCUACGGGAGGCAGCAGUGGGGAAUUUUGGACAAUGGGCGAAAGCCUGAUCCAGCAAUGCCGCGUGUGUGAUGAAGGCCUUCGGGUUGUAAAGCACUUUUGGCGGGAACGAAAAGGACUGUGCCAAUACCACGGUUCGAUGACGGUACCCGCAGAAUAAGCACCGGCUAACUACGUG
RNAcentral lists this ribosomal RNA (484 nucleotides) under uncultured bacterium. Its description in RNAcentral is "partial 16S ribosomal RNA". It matches the Rfam family "Bacterial small subunit ribosomal RNA", at positions 29 to 507 of the family's 1533-position model. The record is from RNAcentral.